ACGGGUAGUAACGUAACCGUACGGUUAACCGGUAACGUACCCGAACCCGUAAGUAGGGGAAUAAGCCACCGAAAGGUGGUCUAAUACUUCAUAAUAUCCAUCUCGUAUGGAUUAAAGCUUUAUGCGCUUUGGGAGGGGCCUGCGUAACAUUAGCUUGUUGGUGAGGUAAAAGCUCACCAAGGCUUCGAUGUUUAACUGGUUUGAGAGGAUGACCAGUCACACUGGGACUGAGAUACGGCCCAGACUCCUACGGGAGGCAGCAGUAAGGAAUCUUCCACAAUGGGGCAACCCUGAUGGAGCAAUACCGCGUGCAGGAUGAAGCGUUUCGGCGUGUAAACUGCUUUAAUCACCGAAGAUUAUGACUGUAGGUGAAGAAUAAGGACCGGCUAACUACGUG
Molecule: ribosomal RNA, 397 nt
Filed under: uncultured bacterium
Lineage: Bacteria
Description: bacterial SSU rRNA
Rfam family: Bacterial small subunit ribosomal RNA
Source: RNAcentral